Non-coding RNA from Acanthosepion pharaonis, 91 nucleotides. The record is from the annotation of a GenBank genome assembly. Lineage: Eukaryota; Metazoa; Mollusca; Cephalopoda; Sepiida; Sepiidae.
ACGUAGAAACAUCGAUUCCCGUACGAUUACCAAAGUUAAGCAACGUUGAGCCUGUAGAGUACCUAGAUGGGUAACCGCUUGGGAAGUCCUG